Molecule: microRNA precursor, 90 nt
Filed under: Pelobates cultripes (western spadefoot toad)
Lineage: Eukaryota; Metazoa; Chordata; Amphibia; Anura; Pelobatidae
Source: RNAcentral
CGUUUCGCCCACAACAGGCUUCUUCAAGUAGAGUAUGUUUUUACUAUAUUCUACUUGAAGAAGCCUGUUGUGGGCGAAACGCGUUUAGAA